AACGAACGCUGGCGGCAUGCCUAACACAUGCAAGUCGAACGAGACCUUCGGGUCUAGUGGCGCACGGGUGCGUAACGCGUGGGAACCUGCCCUUAGGUUCGGAAUAACUCCCCGAAAGGGGUGCUAAUACCGGAUAAUGUCUUCGGACCAAAGAUUUAUCGCCUUUGGAUGGGCCCGCGUUGGAUAAGCUAGUUGGUAGGGUAAAAGCCUACCAAGGCGACGAUCCAUAGCUGGUCUGAGAGGAUGAUCAGCCACACUGGGACUGAGACACGGCCCAGACUCCUACGGGAGGCAGCAGUGGGGAAUAUUGGACAAUGGGCGAAAGCCUGAUCCAGCAAUGCCGCGUGAGUGAUGAAGGCCUUAGGGUUGUAAAGCUCUUUUACCCGGGAUGAUAAUGACAGUACCGGGAGAAUAAGCUCCGGCUAACUCCGUG
RNAcentral lists this ribosomal RNA (433 nucleotides) under uncultured bacterium. RNAcentral's name for it is "partial 16S ribosomal RNA". It matches the Rfam family "Bacterial small subunit ribosomal RNA", at positions 29 to 507 of the family's 1533-position model. The record is from RNAcentral.